UUUAAACCAGUUUGUUGUUAUUUCACAGCUCAGCUUCAUCUCUGUUCACUUUUUUAUAAAAACAGAAUGAAUGAAUGAAUAACUGGAUCUCUGACUGUGGGUCUCCUCACUGCUCCUCUAGCGCCACCAGCAGGUUCACAUGUGGGAAUUUCAGUGAAAACAAAUAUUGGAUGGAUCGACGCAAGUCACAUAGACUUUGUUGCUCUUUACACUACGUCGCCUGAUGUGGACGGAUUACACUGGAGUUAGAAGAAAGGCUGGUGUGUCUCAUACAGGCACUAAAGGAGGUGUCAGCAUGCAACCCUGUCGUCAUGACGACUGCUAAGUAAACUGCCUCUUCUUCCACUGUGGCUAACGGACCACAGGUCACCAUGGCAACGGUAAACAUCCAGGAGGCCGGGGGGUUGACGUGGCGACCUAAAAGUGUGCUUAUGCGAAGAGGAACACAGAGGUUUGAUCCCUGCAGCAGUAAAGAGAUUACAACUGAGAAAAAUAAAGAACAUGAGGAGAUCUGAUUAGUAAUUUUACAUUAAAUGAAACCCCAAAUGAACUAAUAAUAGUCUAAAUUUAAUUACAAAAAAAAACAAAGAAAUGUUAGAUUAACUUAGAGAAAUAC
This is a long non-coding RNA of Dicentrarchus labrax (European seabass), 616 nucleotides long. RefSeq lists it as uncharacterized. The record is from RefSeq and is a predicted model, not a curated record. The transcript is spliced from 3 exons. Lineage: Eukaryota; Metazoa; Chordata; Actinopteri; Moronidae.